CUACGGGUGGCAGCAGUCGAGAAUCUUCCGCAAUGGACGAAAGUCUGACGGAGCGACGCCGCGUGCGGGAUGAAGGCCUUCGGGUUGUAAACCGCUGUCAGUGGGGAGGAAAUGCAUCAGGGUUCUCCCUGGUGUUUGACCGAUCCGCAGAGGAAGCGCAGGCUAAGUUCGUGCCAGCAGCCGCGGGUAACACGGACUGCGUGAACGUUAUUCGGAAUCACUGGGCUUAAAGAGUUCGUAGGCGGCCUUUCAAGUCGGGUGUGAAAUCCCUCGGCUCAACCGAGGAAUUGCGCCUGAUACUGUUGGGCUUGAGGGGGAUAGGGGUGAGCGGAACUGAUGGUGGAGCGGUGAAAUGCGUUGAUAUCAUCAGGAACACCGGUGGCGAAGGCGGCUCACUGGAUCUCUUCUGACGCUGAGGAACGAAAGCUAGGGGAGCGAACGGGAUUAGAUACCCGGGUAGUC
Molecule: ribosomal RNA, 462 nt
Filed under: uncultured bacterium
Lineage: Bacteria
Description: partial 16S ribosomal RNA
Rfam family: Bacterial small subunit ribosomal RNA
Source: RNAcentral